This 709-nucleotide ribosomal RNA is filed under the name uncultured bacterium. Its description in RNAcentral is "bacterial SSU rRNA". It matches the Rfam family "Bacterial small subunit ribosomal RNA", at positions 40 to 800 of the family's 1533-position model. The record is from RNAcentral.
CGGUUGCAUCAGGCAUGCAGUCGAAUGGGGUUAGACCCAUGGCAAACUGGCUAGUAACACGUAGGAACUCGCCCUGAAGUCGUGAAUACCCUGGAGAAAUCCAGUAUAAUACACGAUGCCCUCUACGGAGGAAAGAUUUAUCGCCUCAGGAGGAGCCUGCGUCCUAUCAGCUUGUUGGUGAGGUAAUGGCUUACCAAGGCUAUGACGGGUAGGGGGUGUGAGAGCAUGGCCCCCAGCAUUGGAACUGAGACACUGUCCAAACACCUACGGGUGGCUGCAGUCGAGAAUAUUCCACAAUGGACGAAAGUCUGAUGGAGCGACACCGCGUGCAUGAUGACGGCCUUAGGGUUGUAAAGUGCUAAAACUGGGAUCAAUGUACUGAGCGUACCAGUUGAGAAGAGGCUACUAACUCUGUGCCAGCAGUAGCGGUAAUACAGAGGCCUCAAGCGUUAUCCGGAUUUAUUGGGCGUAAAGCGUAUGUAGGCGGACUUAUUAGUCGCGGGUCAAAUUUCUGGGCUCAACCCAGAAACUGCUUGCGAAACGGUAAGUCUAGAGGAUAUGAGAGAUGACUGGAACUUAUGGUGUAGUAGUGAAAUGCGUUGAUAUCAUAGGGAACACCCAAGGCGAAGGCAGGUCAUUGGUAUAUUCCUGACGCUGAGAUACGAAAGCGUGGGUAGCGAAUGGGAUUAGAUACCCCAGUAGUCCACGC